AGACCGAUAGCGAACAAGUACCGUGAGGGAAAGAUGAAAAGCACUUUGGAAAGAGAGUUAAACAGCACGUGAAAUUGUUAAAAGGGAAACGAUUGAAGUCAGUCGUGUGAAAGGUAUUCAGCCGUCUCUGGCGGUGUAUUUGCCUUUCACGGGUCAACAUCAGUUUAGUCCGGUAGAAAAAGGCUGGAGGAAGGUGGCACCCUCGGGUGUGUUAUAGCCUCCUGUCAUAUGUGCCGGAUUAGACUGAGGAACGCAGCUUGCAGCAAUGCCGGGGUUCGCCCACGUACAAGCUUAGGAUGUUGACAUAAUGGCUUUAAACGACCCGUCUUGAAACACGGACCAAG
RNAcentral lists this ribosomal RNA (344 nucleotides) under Vishniacozyma tephrensis. RNAcentral's name for it is "eukaryotic LSU rRNA". It matches the Rfam family "Eukaryotic large subunit ribosomal RNA", at positions 331 to 670 of the family's 3401-position model. The record is from RNAcentral. Lineage: Eukaryota; Fungi; Basidiomycota; Tremellomycetes; Tremellales; Bulleribasidiaceae.